Molecule: non-coding RNA, 789 nt
Organism: Punica granatum (pomegranate)
Lineage: Eukaryota; Viridiplantae; Streptophyta; Magnoliopsida; Myrtales; Lythraceae
Source: RefSeq, a predicted model, not a curated record
CCCCAGUCCCCGACCCUUUCAGUCUGCUUCUCGUCUCCCAGUCUCUCUGUCUCUCCCUCCGACCCACACAAACAUCAACCCCAACCCCCCCCCCCCCAACACACACCACACCGAUCUCGAGCUGCUGCCUGCUGUGCUCCUUCUCCUAUUCGCUGUGCCGUCGCCUGGUCUUCUUCUGGUAGUCACCUUUUGCGCUGCCCCAUUGCUCCGGCGUCGCCCCAGCUGCUCAGUCAGAGCCUCUCUCUGGCCCAAGCUGCCGCACCUGUGACAAAAGAAGAGCUUGGGAGGGCCACCUAGACUUUUCUUCACACACUAGCUGCCCAGUACCCAGACAAUCCAAGCAGACAGCAAAAGAAAGAUGUAAAAGAUUUGAUGGCUAUCCUAUCUCGAUUAUACCCUUGCCAGGAAUGUGCCGAUCAUUUUAAAGAAGUGCUGAGAGCAAAUCCAGUGCAGGCAGGAUCUCAUGCUGAGUUCUCACAGUGGUUAUGUCAUGUACACAACGUUGUUAACCGAAGCCUCGGGAAAUUGGUGUUUCCUUGCGAGCGACUUGAUGCAAGAUGGGGAAAGCUGGAGUGUGAGAAUCGAGCUUGUGAUGAUGUACAAGGAACCCUAACAAAAUUCGGCUAAUGAAAUUUAAUGUACUACAUUUUCAUAUGAUGGAACUUAGCAUGAAAUCAAUUACUUAGUCGGUGAUCCACUGUGCUAUUGGAGAUAUUCUUAACAGAUAUCAUCAUAAAGACACUAAUGACAUACAAUGUGAUGAUCAGAUGGAGAAAAUUUGCUCAGCGA